This 198-nucleotide ribosomal RNA is filed under the name uncultured bacterium. RNAcentral describes it as "partial small subunit ribosomal RNA". It matches the Rfam family "Bacterial small subunit ribosomal RNA", at positions 26 to 226 of the family's 1533-position model. The record is from RNAcentral.
AGAUUGAACGCUGGCGGCAUGCCUUACACAUGCAAGUCGAACGGCAGCACGGGAGCAAUCCUGGUGGCGAGUGGCGAACGGGUGAGUAAUACAUCGGAACGUGCCCAAUCGUGGGGGAUAACUACGCGAAAGCGUAGCUAAUACCGCAUAAGAUCUAUGGAUGAAAGCAGGGGAUCGCAAGACCUUGCGCGAAUGGAG